AUUGAACGCUGGCGGCAGGCCUAACACAUGCAAGUCGAACGAGUGGCGGACGGGUGAGUAAUGUCUGGGAAACUGCCCGAUGGAGGGGGAUAACUACUGGAAACGGUAGCUAAUACCGCAUACCAUCGGAUGUGCCCCGAUGGGAUUAGCUAGUAGGUGGGGUAACGGACUACCUAGGAGACGAUACCUAGCUGGUCUGAGAGGAUGACCAGCCACACUGGAACUGAGACACGGUCCAGACUCCUACGGGAGGCAGCAGUGGGGAAUAUUGCACAAUGGGCGAAAGCCUGAUUCAGCCAUGCCGCGUGUAUGAAGAAGGCCUUCGGGUUGUAAAGUACUUUAAGCGGGGAGGCGUUACACGCAGAAGAAGCACCGGCUAACUCCGUGCCAGCAGCCGCGGUAAUUC
RNAcentral lists this ribosomal RNA (406 nucleotides) under uncultured bacterium. RNAcentral describes it as "partial 16S ribosomal RNA". It matches the Rfam family "Bacterial small subunit ribosomal RNA", at positions 30 to 526 of the family's 1533-position model. The record is from RNAcentral.